AGCGUAGGCGGACAUUUAAGUCAGGGGUGAAAUCCCGGGGCUCAACCUCGGAAUUGCCUUUGAUACUGGGUGUCCUGAGUAUGAGAGAGGUGUGUGGAACUCCGAGUGUAGAGGUGAAAUUCGUAGAUAUUCGGAAGAACACCAGUGGCGAAGGCGACACACUGGCUCAUUACUGACGCUGAGGCUCGAAAGCGUGGGGAGCAAACA
RNAcentral lists this ribosomal RNA (207 nucleotides) under uncultured bacterium. RNAcentral describes it as "partial 16S ribosomal RNA". It matches the Rfam family "Bacterial small subunit ribosomal RNA", at positions 568 to 774 of the family's 1533-position model. The record is from RNAcentral.